This is a long non-coding RNA of Oryzias latipes (Japanese medaka), 1096 nucleotides long. RefSeq lists it as uncharacterized. The record is from RefSeq and is a predicted model, not a curated record. Lineage: Eukaryota; Metazoa; Chordata; Actinopteri; Beloniformes; Adrianichthyidae.
CCCCACCUUGCUCGUCCGACCCCACGAUUAACAGAAAAAGAAGAGGAAAAAAACUUGCAUAUUCUGAGCGCAACUGUGCGCGCACUUUUCUAUUUGCUGCUUGCAGACGACAUGGGAAAGUUGGCUCUCUCCCUCUCCCCCAUCCCUCCCUCUUGUCUGUCAUGUGCGUGGAACAUGCUGGUGCUCUGCACAGAGCAGCUGUAGCACGCCUAAUGCAGGCUUGCACGUUGGCAGCGGCAAUUUUAAAGCCCCCCCUGCACCGAACCCGGUUGGGACAUUUUUUUAAGGGGAACUUAUACUCACCGCAUCACCAUGUCCAUGGACCUCAAACUUUUCUUUUUCCCCGCUGAUUGGGACGCUUUCUGCAGACUCCUAGUGGUGUUUGACUCGCCCUUUGAAUGAAUGGAGGAGGAGAGCAGCAAAGACCAGCAGGAACUACAGGUCAUCAAAAGAUUGCUGGAAUGUAGCCCUCCAAUGGAAAAAAAUGAGAUACACAGAUUGUCUCUGGGUCCCUGCAGCCAUGGAAAUGGAAAGUGCUGAGUUUCAAGGUCGUUCAGAGUAUUCUGCACCCUGGGGCGCUCCAUUGUCAGUGCACCACGUCCUUCAGCUCGCACAUGCUCUCCAGUUGACAUACAAGACAUCAUGGGUUGAAUGAAGCCCAUGACCCGUAUCUCCACACAUGACAGGAGCCUCCACACUGAAGACGUCAUCGUUUGCCUAUAUUCAAGUUUCCAGAUGAUGACACAUAAAGAAGAUUGAGAUGAGAAUUUCAUCAAGGCAAACUUCCAGAUCUAAUUUUGCUCUGGCCGCUUCUGCAGUACUACUACAGCUACUUCUGUAUUUCUGUAAAUGCAAUGUAUCAAAGGGCUGUUAAACGAGCUGAAAAUAGUACCGUACCUUCAACUCUUAGAGAAUCUGAUCACUGUGCUUUUUUGUGGUUAUAUUUAUCAGAUUCAACAUUUUACAUAAAAUUACCUCUCAAAAAUAAAAACAGAUAUAAAAUAAAACUGCUUCGUGCUUUAACUGUUGAUGUAGAAUGAUUGGGUUCUUUUGGUGUGUUUUUAACAGCUGAAUAAAGCUGUUUUUUUCUUGUAAA